AGAAGCAGAGGGGGCUUAGUGGUGGGGUGACUGCGUACCUUUUGUAUAAUGGGUCAGCGACUUAUAUUCUGUAGCAAGGUUAACCGUAUAGGGGAGCCGGAGGGAAACCGAGUCUUAAUUGGGCGUUAAGUUGCAGGGUAUAGACCCGAAACCCGGUGAUCUAGCCAUGGGCAGGUUGAAGGUUGGGUAACACUAACUGGAGGACCGAACCGACUAAUGUUGAAAAAUUAGCGGAUGACCUGUGGCUGGGGGUGAAAGGCCAAUCAAACCGGGAGAUAGCUGGUUCUCCCCGAAAGCUAUUUAGGUAGCGCCUCGUGAAUUCAUCUCCGGGGGUAGAGCACUGUUUCGGCUAGGGGGCCAUCCCGGCUUACCAACCCGAUGCAAACUGCGAAUACCGGAGAAUGUUAUCACGGGAGACACACGGCGGGUGCUAACGUCCGUCGUGAAGAGGGAAACAACCCAGACCGCCAGCUAAGGUCCCAAAGUCAUGGUUAAGUGGGAAACGAUGUGGGAAGGCCCAGACAGCCAGGAUGUUGGCUUAGAAGCAGCCAUCAUUUAAAGAAAGCGUAAUAGCUCACUGGUCGAGUCGGCCUGCGCGGAAGAUGUAACGGGGCUAAACCAUGCACCGAAGCUGCGGCAGCGACACUCAGGUGUUGUUGGGUAGGGGAGCGUUCUGUAAGCCUG
RNAcentral lists this ribosomal RNA (684 nucleotides) under Salmonella enterica subsp. enterica serovar Panama. RNAcentral describes it as "partial 23S ribosomal RNA". It matches the Rfam family "Bacterial large subunit ribosomal RNA", at positions 568 to 1251 of the family's 2925-position model. Lineage: Bacteria; Pseudomonadati; Pseudomonadota; Gammaproteobacteria; Enterobacterales; Enterobacteriaceae. The record is from RNAcentral.